AAAUUAUUGGAGUUAUGGAUCAUUUGCUUGAAUCAUUGAAACGUUGGUUUGAAGUUAACGAAUUAACAAUAAACAUAAGGAUAAGUUCUGGUAGGAAGGCCGAGAAUGAAGAGGGUUGGGGCCAAAUGUAUACUGAGAAACCGGCUCUUCUCAAAACUAAUAUCUCCACACAAAUGAUAUAUCAGAAAUUUCCAAGCAGUGCCAGGUAUAUUGGCUAGUUUAAUAUAUGUAUGCUUAUUGUUUUAAUAAAUGUUUCCUAAAAAUUUUGUUUCAAUCAAAUUAAAAAUAAAAAGGACAUUUAAUGUAUUAACAUGUUGUUAGAAUUCUUUCUCAGAAAAAUGGUUUUUGUAUAAAAAGAAACUGAUAUUCCAUCAAAAACGUC
This 382-nucleotide long non-coding RNA is filed under the name Androctonus crassicauda. The record is from RNAcentral. Lineage: Eukaryota; Metazoa; Arthropoda; Arachnida; Scorpiones; Buthidae.